RNAcentral lists this ribosomal RNA (492 nucleotides) under uncultured bacterium. RNAcentral's name for it is "partial 16S ribosomal RNA". It matches the Rfam family "Bacterial small subunit ribosomal RNA", at positions 28 to 507 of the family's 1533-position model. The record is from RNAcentral.
GGUGAACGCUGGCGGUAGGCCUAACACAUGCAAGUCGAACGGCAGCACAGUAAGAGCUUGCUCUUACGGGUGGCGAGUGGCGGACGGGUGAGGAAUACAUCGGAAUCUACUUUUUCGUGGGGGAUAACGUAGGGAAACUUACGCUAAUACCGCAUACGACCUACGGGUGAAAGCAGGGGAUCUUCGGACCUUGCGCGAUUGAAUGAGCCGAUGUCGGAUUAGCUAGUUGGCGGGGUAAAGGCCCACCAAGGCGACGAUCCGUAGCUGGUCUGAGAGGAUGAUCAGCCACACUGGAACCGAGACACGGUCCAGACUCCUACGGGAGGCAGCAGUGGGGAAUAUUGGACAAUGGGCGCAAGCCUGAUCCAGCCAUACCGCGUGGGUGAAGAAGGCCUUCGGGUUGUAAAGCCCUUUUGUUGGGAAAGAAAAGCAGCAGGUUAAUACCCCGCUGUUCUGACGGUACCCAAAGAAUAAGCACCGGCUAACUUCGUG